Molecule: long non-coding RNA, 34699 nt
Filed under: Nicotiana tabacum (common tobacco)
Lineage: Eukaryota; Viridiplantae; Streptophyta; Magnoliopsida; Solanales; Solanaceae
Description: long non-coding RNA (NTAB_LNC008171)
Source: RNAcentral
AAGCAAAAGCUGAAAAUAGAAACAGGUUUUGAUCGCACUAGCUAGUUCAAGGGUUUGACUAAUAAAGACAGUAUCACCACCGUCGGAAUGAGGAAUUCUCCGGCAAUUUCCACGGCGGAAUCCGGCAACAAAAGUGGAAUUAGAUGGUUUUCCGGCAUGGUACACGCCGGGAAGAAGGCAUACAUGGAUAAUCAGAAGCCGAGGCAGGUUGAGAAGGCUGAGAAAGUCAUGCAUCUUAUCUGUUGGGGACCCAAAUAGUUCAUUUCUUAAGUAAGUAGUGCUUACGUUCGAAUCUUGAGAAUAAAGAAUCUUUUCAGAUGAAAGCGGUUUUCUCUUUAGUGAGUUUAUAUAUUACAAUGAAAUCUGAACAAUCGAAUUAAUGACUUCAAUUAUCGAAUGGUUAAUAAAAAAAAAAGAUUGUGUUUAUAACUUUUUCCUUUUUCCCCCCUUUUUGGGGUUUGUUUUGCCCUUUUUUCCUGUCUUAUUAUCAUCUCCUUUUCUUUCUUUUUUUUGUUUGCUUUAGUUAGUAUGGCCUAAUGGGAGAGUCGAAAUUAUUAUGUUAUUUGCUCUCUAGGAGAGUUUGUAAUUAUAUAUUAAAUGUUGUUAAAAAUAUGUUUUGGUGGGAGAUGUUUCGUCUAAAUUUUCCAAAUUGAACCAAUAUGUGAUAUUCUCAGAAAUACAAAAUGGAAAUCAAUCCAGAAUACUAGUAGUAAAUUUCUAACUUCAUUUUAGACGAUUCGACUUGAUUUGAGUUAUUAGUUCUGUGGUUUUACAACUUAAUUAGAUAGAAAACCUUCACCUAAAAAAACAUAAACAUAUAGUUAUGACCGAACACCACCUCAUAAUAAACCUAAGAAAUAAUGAAUUCAGUUGUGAAAUUGAGAAGAAAAGAGGCAAGUGAGGACAAUUUUAUGGGUCGUCGAUAAUCAAAGAGGUAAGGUCUGCGUAUACUCUAUCCUCCCCAGAUUCCACUGAUGAAAUUUUACUAGGUGGUUGUUGUUGUUUUUGUUGAUAAGCAAAAGAGGGCCUUUUAGUGUGUGUGUGUGUAUAUAUAUAGUAGUUUAUAGACAAAUAAAUUAAUUUGAUCCCAUGAUAAUGAAUAAGUUAGACAAACAUAAAAUACUUAGCAUUGAUAUGGAGACAGAACAACAGAAAUCGUAAUAUCGGGAGCAGGGCUUCCGAGGACAAUAAUCACGAUAUAAAUGAGCAAAAAGAUAAAAUUAUAUUGAGCUCUGAACAAAGUGUAGCAUAUGUUUGUAAGAAAAUUCGUGUCAUUUACAAUGAUAAUAUUGCUCAUUAUUAUAGUUGCACCUAGGGAACAAGGUCCUAGGAUCAAGCCCCUCUUUAAUGACAAUUAUGAGGGCUAUUGAAGAAUGUGUAACAGUAGGCAAUGAAUGUCAUAUUCUCUAUAACAGUCCACAUACUUAAUGCUGUAGAAAAUUCUUUAUUAAAUGCUACCGGGUGGCAGACAAUUAUUUCACCUUCAUGAGGAUCAUUUUCUUCGAUAACAGACGAGAUCGUUGCCUUCGGAUCCGACUUCCUUCUAUCUUCGGCUCUAUGUCACUUUCUCAUGUGAUCAUUUAAUAUAAACACAUUUUACCCUAUACAUAUGGCCCCCUUGCUUUUCGAUGGCAUAACUUUGUGUCAACGGGAAGUUGGUAGAAAUACCUUUUUUGGCGGAAAAUUCUCUGGCCCCCGCCGAAAAGUUUCUGACAGCUGAUUAGACCCAUGUCUCUUUGCAUUUAAUGCCCUGAACACGCGUCAUCCCACGAUUCAUCACCACUUUUGUCGGUUAUCGAGGUAAUUAUGGCCACGAUUUUAGCCGCCUAUUCCGUUACUUAUACGUAUCAAACUUCUCCAUUUACACUUCAUAACCUUCCAAACUCUCUCGAACUCUUUUUGUUUAACUUAUACUUGUCCUCAACUUUCCCAAAUCUUCUCUUUUAGUGAAGACCCUUUCCUCUUUUUUGAUAGCAAUGGCCUCUUCUUCCAGAAACCUUAGUUCUUCAAAGAACAAAGGUAAAGUUGAUGACAUUGCUCCUCUUACGGUGAGCACCAUCAUCCCAAAGAGUCUUAUCAAAACGAAGGACUUCAAAGAGAAGUUUCCUACCGUUAAUUCACGCACGUGGGUUGUUGGCAUGUAUCCUUCUUCUAUCCGUCCUUCCAGCAUCCCUGUUGUGAAGGAAAACCGACAUUGCCUUGAUUUGAACAUCAUCGCUCGUGACCUGUCGGAGUCGAUAAUCUUACCCAAGAAAGGUUUUACGUAUUUUUAUAUGUAUCCCUUCACUUUGGGGCCAUUCUCUUUGAACUGGGAGCUUAACUCUGUUAUCACGGAGCUCUGCAUCCGUUAUCAGGUAUACCUGGCGCAGGUAAGUCCUUCUGUGUGGAGGACAAUUGCUUGUCUUAGGCGUCUAUGCCAGGAGACAGGAGAAGAGCUAACCUUGGCUUGAUUAAUGAUCCCCCAAGAUUUUCCGUGGGAGAAUGAUAAAUUUCAGCAAGUGUGGCCACUAUGCUCUGCUAUCCAGCAUGGAUGAUGAUAACGAUCGUGAGUGGAAGGAACGGUUCAUCAUAGUUGCCACAAGCGACAUCAUUCCGGCCACGGCUUCAUCCUUUUCGGAAUUAUGGAACCUAACUCAUAAGUUCAUCAUUUGUCUUUUCUUUCAUUAAAGAUCGCCCCAUAUCGUUAUUGGACCUUCUUCUUUAGCUUAUUUCAGCAACUCGGUGGGUACCACCUAGGGUUGAAGGCUUGGAUCAGUGGGUCCAAAAAAAUUUGAAUGUUACUAUGCUCGAGACCCGCACGUGGAAAAAACUUGCCCUUAAAUAUGGGUGGGAGGCCAAGAAUCAUGGUAAGUUGAACUCAUCUUGUUUUUACUGUAACGACAUGGCCAGUUGUUUUGAGUAUUUUAGCCCCUAUCCCCUAUAUUAUGCUUCCUCUAUGCUAUACUGUAGUUAUGUAACUUGCCUGGGUGGUUGGUUUUGGUUUCGGGUGAGUUUUGGAGUGAAAUGGGAUACAUAGUCCCUAAGUUGGAAGGUUAAGUCGUAGGAGUUGACCGUAGAUUGACUUGUAUGAAGACGACUUCGGAAUGGAGUUUUGACAGUUCCAAUAGCCCCUAUGGUGAUUUUUGUCGUAGAAGCAUGUCCGAAGGGUAAUUUGGAGGUCUGUAGGUUGUUUCGGCGUGAUUUGGCGAAAUUUGAAAAGUUGGAGGAUUUUUGGAAAGUUUGACCAUGAGUUGUCUUUAUUGAUAUCGGGGUCAAAAUCCAAUUUCGAAAGUUGAAAUAUGUCUGCAAUAUCAUUUAUGACUUGUGUGCAAAAUUUGAAGUCAAUCAGAGUUAUUUUGGUAUGAUUCGGCAUCGGUUUUAGAAUUCGGAAGUUCAUAAUUUCUUAGGCUUGAAUUUGGAUUGCGAUUCGUAGAAUUUAUGUUAUUGGAUGUGAUUUUUGUCCUUGAGUAGGCCUGUUAUUUAUUUUGAAACUAUUUGGUAUAUUCGAGCGGGGUCCCGGAGGCCUCGGGUGUGAUUCUGAUCGAAUCCGGAACAAUUUGGACUUAUUGAAUUUUGCUGAAGGUUGGCAGCUUCUGGUGUCUUUGCACUUGCGGAGGGAUUAGCCGCAGAUGCGGGCUUGCAAAAACGAGCACUUGGUCGCAAAUGCGGAGCUAGGCAUGCCCAACUGGGGGCGCAUGAGUGGGAAAUGUUCCACAGAAGCGGCUUCGCUUAUGCAUUGGAGGGGAACGUAGGAGCGACAGUGGUAACAGGUGAGACGCUUGUGCCGCAGGUGCGCAUGCGCAGAUGCGAACCUUUUUCCGCAGAUGCGGAUAUCUUGGACUUAAGUGAAGACCGCACCUGCGAUGGUUUUCCCGCAGGUGCGUAGCCACAGAUGCGGUAGAAAGGUCGCAGGUAAGAUUUAACUGGCAGAAAAAGGGGAAAUUCGAGGCUUAGUUUUCAUAAUUUAUUUUGGGAUUUUGGGAGCUCAGUGGGAAAUGAAAUUUCGAGGAAUUUUCAGUGAGAAUGUUGGGGUAAGAAGAAGCCUUAACUCAAUUUUGGUUAAAUUACUCGAGUCUAUCAUUGUUUUAUCAUGUAAUUAGGGAUUGGAGUUGGAAAAAUUGGGAAAAGGUGGUAGAACUUCUUAGACUAAGUUUUUAGUUUUGAAAAGCGAAUUGAGGUCAGAUUUGAAUAAUUCUUGUGUGAUUGAACUCGAUAUCGAAUGGGUGUUCGAAUUUUAUAAUUUUGGUCGGGUUUCGAGAUGUGGACCGAGUUGACUUUUUGGGUUGAUUUUUCAAUUCUUUGCAAAGAUCGUAAUUUCACUGUUUGAAUUAGUUUCCUAUAGUUAUAAUUUUAGUAUGAAAUUUUGGCUGAAUUCGAGCCGUUCGGAGUUGGAAAAUCGAGGGAAAGGUCUUCUAGUGGAUUGACUUAGCAUGAUUUGAGGUAAGUGGCUUGCCUAACUUUGUGUCGGGGAACUUUCCCUUAGGAUUGGUGUUACUUGUGAUAAUUGUGAUGUGCAAAAGCCGUGUACGAAAGGUGACGAGUGUGUACACGGGCUAAAUAUGAAAAUUAUCGGUUUUUGGCUGUGUAAAUUCCUUUCAUGUCAUAGUUGAGUUGCUUUAACAUGUUAUAGUCUUCAUUUUUAGUCUAAUUCUAUAUGUCUACUUCUCUUAUCCCUUACUGGCUAAUUGCUCUACAUGUUUAGUCAAAAUUCUUGUUUCUUUUAUUCCGUAUUCAUUAUUAACUAUGGAAUUCUUUAUUGAAAUUAUUAUUUCUUGGAAUAUCUUGUCGUUAAAAUUAGUAUUGAGUUGCAAGGGCCGUGAUUCUAUUGAGGCAAAGUGUUAAGUUGUUAAACAUCAUGCUAUUGAGUUAUUCCUCGGGUUGUUAAUUGUUGAGACUUUGUGUACAUUGUGUUUGAGUCGUGGGCUCCUUGUUGUGAAAUUAUGUUAUUGUUUGGUUUCUCUGGCACGUUGUGAUAUUGGGCCCUUGAGGUGUGGUUUAUGAUAAGUUGUGAUAGUGAUACGCAUGUGGUGGUAUAAGGUUUGGGUGUUGAAACACAUGCGGUGAGAUAAGGUGGUCUUGAUACGCAUGGUUAGUAGGAAACUACUAGAAUCCAUGCGGUAUGAUAAGGUGGGCUGAAACGCGGGAUGCUAUUUCGGGAAAAAUAAUUUUCAAAACUAAAUGUAAAGACUCCCGCGGUGAUAUAAGAAAAGAUUUUGAUUUAUUUUGUGAUUUGAGACUACGAGGCGGUACCUCAGUAGUGACUCUUGUUGACAUUUUCCCAUUUUCUUGUCUUGAUCGGUUUUUCCUUAGCAUAUUAUUAAAUGUCUUGCUCUAUGUUGCACUAUUUGCUUAGUUUCGUGUAUCUAAUCUUGUUAUGCUAUUCGUUUGUUUAAUUUUCAUUACUAUCUUAUUAUACUAUCUAUAUUGUUCAGUCUUUUAUUUAUUUUUAGUAGGGCCUGACUUGAUCUCGUCACUUCUCUACCAAGGUUAGUUUUGGCACUUACUAGGUAUCAUUGUGGUGUACUCAUGCUACUCUUCUGCAUAUAUUUUUAUGCAUAUCCAGGUGCUUCCUACUAGCCCAGGCGUUAGUUAGGAUUCUACUGCGAAGACUUCAAGGUAUACUUGCCGGUGUCCGCAGGCCUUGGAGUCCCCCUCUCUCUAGAUCUCUUAUUUCGUCAUCCUUAUUAUAUACUCGUGAUGCAUAUGAUUAUACAAUACUCAUACUUAGAGAUUGUGACUUGUAUUUUCACCGGGCCUCGGGAUUUGUGUAUGAUGUGUUGAAGUGUUGGUAUAUAUAUAUCUAUUGAGUUUGAGAAGUUUAUUUACUAUUAUUUCAAUUAUUUUGCAUGUUGUUAGGCUCACCUAGUUGUUGUCACAGCAUCCUACAGAGGAAAUUCGAGGUCAUGACAAGUUGGUAUUAGAGUUCUAGAUUUAUAGGUGUUAUGAGUCACAAGCAAGUUUAGUAGAGUCUCGCGGAUCGAUACGGAGACGUCUGUACUUAUCUUUGGGAGGCUAUGGAACUGUUAGGAAAAGCUUCACUUCUUUGAUUCCUUAUCAUGCGAAAUUGUUGACUUCGGGAUUCUAAACUUCUGUCUUUCUGUUCUCUCAUAGAUGGUGUGGACACGUAUAAUUGGAUCGGAUUACGAGAUACCCACGUCCCCUAAUAGAGCCUCGAGAGGCCGGGGCCGAGGACGUCCAUGUGGUGCAGCCAGAGCACCUGCACGAGCUGCUACAGAGGAACCACCAGUAGCUCUAGUUGGAGAACAGGCACCUGAGACGUCUGUUACUACCCAGCACUCCAGGAGACUCUCUCCCAAUUUCUGAGCAUGUUCGAUACUUUAGCUCGGGCAGGGUUGAUACCACUUUCUCUUGCCACAUCUCGGGCUGGGGGAGAAGCACAUACUUCCGCCACCCAUACCCUAGAGUAGUGGGCCCAAGUUGACCAGGUCCCAAAGGUCAUACCAAUACAGUUGGUCGUUCCAGUUCGGCCCGAGGUUAGGGCAGCAACUUUUGAGGGGGAGCAGCUCAGGCUCGAGAGGUACAAAAAUUACAACCCUCAUACUUUCAGCGGCUUGGCGUCAGAGGAUGCCUAGUGUUUUCUUGAGGAGUACCACCGUAUCCUCUGUACGAUGGGUAUUGUGGAGUCUAGUGAGGUUGUUUUCACUACAUUCUAGCUUAAGGGAGCAGCUUAUUAUUGGUGGCAAGCAUAUGAGUUGUGUAGUCCGACCGAGGCAGCUUCACUCACUUGGGCUUAAUUUUCAGAUAUGUUCUUGAGGGAGUUUGUUCCCCAGAGUCUUAGAGAUGCAUGGCGCGCAGAGUUUGAGCAGUUGCGCCAGGGUUCUAUGAUCGUAUCGGAGUAUGCGAUCCAGUUCAGUGAUUUGUCUAGGCAUACACCAGCCUUGGUUGCUACUGUUAGAAAACGAGUCCAUCGAUUUAUCGAGGGGCUUAACCCGGAUUCAGAUUUAGCAUGACUCGAGAUUUGGAGAUGAACAUUGCAUACCAGCAGGUAGUGGAGAUCGCUAGGAGGUUAGAGGGUAUGUGGGCCUGGUAAAGAGAGGAGAGGAGGGCCAAGAGGCCUCGAGAUUCUGGCACAUAUAGUGGUGCCUGUGCCCCAGUUGCAGCUCGUCAUGGUAGGGGCUAUGUGAGUCACUUUGUUCAUUCAGUACUUCCAGCUUCCAGCGGUAUUCUGGCCACUCCUAGGCCUCAGGAUCCCUUUUAUGCACCGCCAUUAUCUAGUGCACCUCCUGCACGGGGUGCUUUUAGCAGUCAGUCCAGCUGCUCAGGCUUUAGCCAACCACAACAACCAAGUCCUCUGAGAGCUUGUUUUAAGUAUGGUGACACUCGUCACAUGGUGAGGGAUUGCCCCAGACUCAGGAGGGGUGCACCUCCACAGACCACUCAGGCUCCGCGUAUUCCACCGGGUCCUCAGGACAUGGUGACCGCACCAGUUGCCACUCCAGCUGCAUAGCCAACUAGAGGUGGAGGUCAGGCAGGUAGAGGUUGCCAUAUAAGGAGAGGUCAGGCAAAAUAUUAUGGUCUUCCUGCUAGGACGGAGGCAGUUGCAUCCGACUCACUCAUCAUUGGUAUUGUUCUGGUCUGUCAUAGAGAUGCAUCAGUCUUAUUUGAUCCAAGAUCCAUUUAUUCCUAUGUGUCAUCUUACUUUGCUCUAUAUUUGGGUGUAUCUCGUGAUUCUUUGAGUUCUCUAGUUCAUGUAUCCAUACCCGUGGGAGAUUCUAUUGUUGUUAACCGUGUGUAUUGGUCGUGUUUAGUUGUUCUUGGUGAUUUUAAGACCACAGUCGAUCUAUUAUUGCUCAGUAUGGUAGAUUUUGAUAUUAUUUCGGGCAUGAACUGAUUGUCAUCCUCUUAUGUUAUUCUCGAUUGUCACGCCAAGACCGUGACGCUUGCUAUGCCAGGGUUACAUGGGUAGAGUGGAGAGGUGCUUUAGAUUAUGUUCCUAGUAGGGUUAUCUCAUUUCUAAAGGCUCAGUGUAUGGUUAAGAAGGGGUGUAAUGAUUAUCUAUCUUUCGUGAGAGAUGUCAGUGUUGAUACUUCUACCAUGGAGUCAGUUCCGAUAGUGCAGGAUUAUCCAGAUAUAUUUCCGGUGGAUCUUCUGGACAUGUCGCCCGAUAAGGAUGUUGAUUUUUGUUAUUGAUUUAUUACUAGUCACUUAGCCCAUUUCUAUUCCACCCUAUCGUAUGGCCCCAAUAGAGUUGAAAGAAUUAAAGGAGCAGUUGCAAGAGUUGCUUGAUAAGGGCUUCAUUCAGCCCAGUGUGUCGCCUUGGGGUGCUCCAGUCUUGUUUGUAAAGAAGAAGGACGGUUCUAUGCAUAUGUGUAUUAAUUAUCGCAAGAUGAACAAGGUUACAGUGAAGAAUAUGUAUCCAUUGCCACAUAUUGAUGAACUAUUUGAUCAGCUAGAGGGCGCCAGAGUGUUCUCCAAGAUUGACUUCCGUUCAGGCUAUCAUCACUUGAAGAUUUGGGAGCCAGAUAUACCGAAGACUACCUUCAGGACUCGGUAUGGUCAUUACGAGUUCCCUGUGAUGUCUUUUGGAUUGACCAACGCCUCAGAAACAUUCAUGGAUUUGAUGAACAGUGUAUUUCAGCCCUAUCUUGACUCAUUUGUCAUUGUGUUUAUUGACGAUAUUUUGGUGUACUCCCAAAGUCGGGAGGAUCAUGAGCAGCACUUGAGGACUGUACUCUAGACCUUGAGAGAAAAGAAGUUAUAUGCAAAAUUUUCAAAAUGUGAAUUAUGGCUUUAUUCGGUAGCAUUUUUAGGCCAUGUAGUGUCGAGUGGGGGGAUCAUUGUAGAUCCGAAGAAUAUUGAAGCAAUGUAGAGUUGGCCCAGACCGUCUUCAGCUACGGAGAUCCGGAGUUUUCUUGGUUUGGCGGGGUAUUACCAUCGAUUUGUAGAGGGUUUCUCAUCUAUUUCAUAGCCUAUGACCAAAUUAACCCAGAAGGGUGCUCUAUUCAGGUGGACCGAGGAGUGUGAGGAGAGAUUUUAAAAGCUCAGGACUGUUUUGACUACAGCCCCAGUGUUGGUAUUGCCUACAGGUUCAGGGUCUUAUACUGUGUAUUGUGAUGCAUUACGUAUUGGUCUCGGUGCGGUAUUGAUGCAGGACGGUAGGGUGAUUGCCUACGCAUCUAGAUAGAUGAAGGUGCAUGAGAAGAACUAUCAUGUCCACGACCUUGAGUUACAAGCUAUUGUUCAUGCCUUGAAGAUUUGGCCGCACUAUUUGUACGGUGUUCCUUGUGAGAUCUACACUGACCACCAGAGUCUACAGUAUCUGUUCAAAUAGAAGGAACUUAACUUGCGUCAAAGAAGGUGGUUAAAGUUGCUUAAGGACUAUGAUAUCACCAUUCUGUAUCACCCCAGGAAUGCCAAUGUGGUGGCCGAUGCCUUGAGUCGCAAGGUGGAGAGUUUGUGCAGCUUAGCAUAUCUAUUGGUAGUGGAGAGGCCAUUAGCAUUGGAUGUUCAGGCCUUGGCCAACCAGUUUGUUAGAUUGGAUGUUUCUGAGCCAGGUCAAGUUUUGGCUUGUGUGGUUUCUCGGUCUUCUCUUCAUGAUCGUAUCAGAGAGCGUCAGUAUGACAGCCCCCAUAUGCUUGUCCUUAAGGACACAGUUCAGCAUGACAAUGCUAAGGAGGCCACUAUUGGAGAUGAGGGUGUAUUAGGGAUGUAGGGCAGGCUAUGUAUGCCCAAAGUAGAUGGUUUGAGUGAGUUGAUUCUCCAGGAGGCUCACAGUUCGUGGUACUCCAUUCAUCCAGUUGCCGCGAAGAUGUAUCAGAACUUGAGGCAGCAUUAUUUGGUGGAGGAGAAUGAAGAAGGACAUAGUGGAGUAUGUAGCUCGGUGCCUAAACUGUCAGCAGGUGAAGUAUGAGCAUUAGCGGCCAGGUGGAUUGCUUCAAAAGCUAGAGAUUCUAGAGUGGAAAUAGGAGCGAAUUACUAUAAAUUUUGUUGUUGGGCUCCCAUAGACUCAGAGGAAGUUCGAUGCAGUUUGGGUGACUGUGGAUAGGUUGACCAAGUCAACUCAUUUCAUUCCAAUGGUGACUACUUAUUCUUCUGAGCAGCUAGCCCGAGUUUAUAAUCGCGAGAUUGCCAGGCUUCAUGGAGUGCCGAUAUCCAUCAUCUCUGGCCGGGGUACAUAGUUUACAUCGCGGUUCUGGAAAGUCGUACAACAAGAGUUAGGUGCACGAUUUGAGUUGAGCAUGGCAUUUUACCCGUAGACGGAUGGGAAGUCCGAGUGCACUAUUUAAAUAUUGGAGGAUAUGCUUCGUGCAUGUGUGAUGGAGUUUGGGGUUUCUAGGGAUCAGUUCUUGCCGCUUGCGGACUUUUCCUAAAAUAACAACUACUAGUCAAGCAUUUAGAUGGCUCCAUAUGAGGCUUUGUAUGGUAGACGGUAUCGGUCUUCGGUGGGUUGGUUUGAGCCGGGUGAGACUAGGCUAUUGGGUGCAGACUUGGUUCAGGAUGCUUUGGAAAAGGUUAAAAUUGAUUCAAGAUCGACUUCGUACAAUCCAAUCCAGAUAUAAGAGUUAUGUGAAUCGGAAGGUUCGCGACAUUGAAUUCGUGGUUGUGGAGUGGGUCUUGCUCCAAGUUCGCCCAUGAAGGGUGUUAUGAGGUUCAGGAAGAAGGUCAAGUUGAGCCCUAGGUAUAUUGGGCCAUAUGAGAUACUUGAGAGGAUUAGAGAAGUGGCAUAUAGGCUUGUAUUACCACCUAGUCUAGCUGUAGUUCAUCAAGUAAUCCAUGUUUCUAUGCUCCGGAAGUAUCACGGCGAUCUAUCUCAUGUGUUAGACUUCAGCUCAGUCCAGUUGGACAAGGAAUUGUCUUAUGUUGAGGAGUCGGCGGCCAUUUUGGACAGGAAGGAUCCAAAGUUGAGGUCGAAGAACAAUGCUUUAGCGAAGGUUCAGUGGAGGGGUCAGCUAGUCGAGAAGGUGAAUUGGGAGACGGAGCAUGAUAUAUAUAACCAUUAUCCUUAUCUUUUCACCACUUCAGGUAUGUCUCUAUACUUGUUCGAGUACGAACGUUUGUUUUAAUAGGGGGAGGAUGUAACGACCCGGCCGGUCAUUUUGAGUAUUUUAACCCCGAUCCCCUAAAUUAUGAUUCCUCUAUAUUAUAUUGUGGUCAUGUAACUUUUCGAGGUGAUUGGUUUUGGUUUCGGGUGAGUUUCAAAGUGAAAUGGGGCACAUAGUCCCUAAGUUGGAAGGUUAAGUCGUAGGAGUUGACCAUAGUUUGCCUUGUGUGAAUACGACUCCAUAAUGGAGUUUUGACGGUUCUAAUAACUCCGUAUGGUGAUUUUGGUUAGGAGUGUGUACGAAUGUUGAUUUGGAGGUCUGUAGGUCGUUUCGGCGUGAUUUGGCAAAAGUUGGAAAGUUGGAGGAUUUUGGAAAGUUUGACCGGGAGUUGAGUUUAUUGAUAUCGGAGUCGGAAUUUGAUUCCGGAUGUUGGAAUAGGUCCGUAAUAUCAUUUAUGACUUGUGUGCGAAAUUUCAAGUCAAUCAAAGUUGUUUUGGUAUGAUUCGACAUCGGUUUCGGAAUUUAGAAGUUCAUAAUUUCUUAGGCUUGAAUUUGAGUUGCAAUUCGUAGAAUUUAGGUCAUUGGAUGUGAUUUUUGACCUCGAGAAGGUCCAUUAUGUAUCUAAGAACUAGUUGGUAUAUUCGGACGGGGUCCCAGAGGCCCGGGUGUGAUUUGGAUCGAAUCCGGAAUAAAUUGGAUUUGUUGAAUUUUGCUGAAGGUUGGCAACUUCUGGUGUCUUCGCACCUGCGAAGAGAUUGGCUGCAGGUGCAGGCUCAUAAAAAUGAGCACUUGGUCGCAGAUGUGGAGCUGGGCAUGCCCAGCUAGGGGCGCAGGAGCAGAAAAUGUUCCGCAGAAGCAGCUUCGCUUCUGCAAUAGUGGGGAACGCAGGAGCGACAAUGGUCGCAGGUGCGACGCUUGUGCUGCAGGUGCGCAUGCGCAGAUGUGAGCCCUUUUCCGCAGAAGCGAAUUCCUUGGACUUAAGUGAAGUCCGUACCUGCGAUGAGUUUUCCGCAGGUGCGCAGCCGCAGAUGCGGCAGAAAGGUCACAAGUGCGAUUUAACCGGCAGAAAAAUGGGAAAUUUGAGGGUUAGUAUUCAUAAUUCAUUUUGGGAUUUUGGGAGCUCGGUGGGAGACGAAAUUUCGAGGGAUUUUCAGAAAGAACAUUAGGGUAAGAAUUGUUAAUUCGAUUUUGGUUAAAUUACUCGAGUUUAUCAUUGUUUUAUCAUGUAAUUAGGGAUUGGAGUUGGAAAAAUUGGGAAAAAGUGGUAGAACUUCUUAGACUAAGUUUUUGAGUUUUGAAAGACGAAUUGAGGCCGGAUUUGAAUAAUUCUUGUAUGGUUGGACUCGAUAUCAACUUGGUGUUCGAAUUUUAUAAUAUUGGUCGGGUUCCGAGAUGCGGGCCCAAGUUGAUGUUAUGGGUCGGUUUUUCAAUUCUUUGCAAAUAUCAUAAUUUCAUUGUUUGAAUUAGUUUUCUAUAGUUAUAUUUAUAAUAUGAAAUUAUUUUGUAUUGAUUCAAGCCGUUCGGAGUUGGAAUAUCGAGAAAAAUGCCUUCUAGUGAAUUUAUUUAGCAUGAUUUGACGUAAAUGGUUUGUCUAACUUUGUGUGGGGGAGAUACCCCUUAGGAUUGAUGUUACUUGUGAUAAUUGUGAUGUGUAAGAGCCGUGUAUGCAAGAUGACGAGUGUGUACACAAACUAAAUGUGGAAAUUACCAGUUUUUAGCUAUGUAAAUUUCUUUCAUGUGUUAAUUGAGUUACUUUAACAUGUUAUAGUCUUCAUUUUUAGUCUAAUUUCACAUGUCUACUUGUCUUAUCUCUUACUUGUAAUUUCUCUACAUGUUUAGUCGAAAUUUUUGUUUCUUUUAUUCCGUAUUCAUUAUUUAACUAUGAAAUUCUUUAUUGAAAUUAUUAUUUCUUGGAAUAUCUUGUUGUUGAAAUUGGUAUUGAGUUGCAAGGGCUAUGAUUCUAUUUAGGCAAAGUGUUAAGUUGUUUAAUAUCAUGCUAUUGAGUUAUUCUUCAGGUUGUUACGUGGGCUCCUUGUUGUGAAAUUCUGUUAUUGUUUGGUUUCUUGCACAUUGUGAUACUGGGCACUUGAAGUGCGAUUUGUGAUAAGUUGGGAUAUUGAUAUGCAUGCGGUGGUAUAAGGUUUGGGUGUUGAAACGCAUGCGGCAAGAUAAGGUGUGCUUGAUACACUCACUACAACAAAAAAGCUUUUUAGCGACAAUAGAUAUGCAUUUUAGCAGCAAUUGUUAUUGUCGUAAAAACUUUUAGCGGCAAUUGAUCAUUAACCGUUGUAUCCAGCGUCGCUAAAGGUUUUAGCGGAAAAUAGACUGAGUGCUGGUAAAUGUCCCAUUUAUUGCCGCUAAAAGAUCUGACAUUUAGUGGCAUUUAUAUACUAGCAAUUACAAGAGCCACUAUAAUUAUCCCAUAACCUAAGUUGCUCGGACUCGGGUGUGGGUAUUCGAUACGGGGACGAAUCCUAGUAUCGAAUUCGGCAAAAUCUAAAUUUUAUAAUUCGGGAGUGCGGAUCCAGAUAUGGAUACGGGUGCGGGAUUCGGCUAAUAAAAAAUAGAGCUAUAAAAAUAUUAUAAAUUUUGAGGGAUUUUCUGUGAAAAACUUACAUAAAUAUUGCACAAUUCAAUCUUUCAUUUCCCAAGAUGGACAUUAUUCUUUCAUUGUUCUAAAUCUGUUUUAUUUUUGAUUUUGAGAACUCAAAAUCUCAGUUUUUCUACCAAAGUUGUCGAUGGACUCCGGUCAAAGUGUCCGAAGUCAGUUGACUAUAUCCAGGACGUAUCCAGUCCUCGUAUUCGUAUCUAUCCCGUAUCAGGAUGGGAACAGCACCAAAAUCGAAGAGUCCGCGCAACUUAGUCCAUAACUAGCCUUCUAUUUGGUCUUAGCAGCAUCUGUUAUGGUCGGUAAAUAUUAAUUUUUUUGCCGUUAAAGAAAAUCUUUUAAUGACCUUUCUUAUUGCCGGUAAAACUAUGCAUAAAUUGUCAAAUGCUAAUCGUCGGGAAACUAUAAGCCUUUUCGACAUAAAGGUAAUAACAAAAACUGCACAUAUAUAAUAACAUAAAUGUAUAUAAUAAAAUAUGCAAAUAUUUAUUCUAGGAAGAAUAAGGUGUUUCACUAAAUUCAUAAUAUACAGAGAUAAUUACAAGUUCAUACUUUAGAGUUUCAGCAAAAAAAAAUAAAAAAAUACACCAUUUGAAUCCAACAAUAGUUUUUUCUCCUCCUGACAAAUCUAGUUCUUUCUGUGUCAAUUUCUGCGUCCAAGGAUAUCAUAAUUAGAUGAGUUAGAACAAAGCAUCUUCAUUGACUGUAGAAAGUCAGUUCUUGUUGACUCCAGCAAGUUUCAUCCAUUGGAUACUAGUUCUGCAGCCAUGUAAUUUGUGGAUUGUAGAUUUAAAUUGAACUGCAGAACAAAAGUUUUUUUUUUGUCAAAAUAAACUUUUUUAUUCAACCAAGUAAAGAUUUAUACACAGCUAACUCUUUUGGACCCAAGAGUUAGUUCUCUAGGAAAAUUAAAACUACGCUAUAAUCUAUCUAUGCUGGGUAAUAAUUUAACCUAUCUAGUAUACUCUUCCAUUUUGCAAUUGCUCUGUCCUUUAAUAUGUAACUGUAUUACAAUUUCCUUCACUCUCUGUCUAGCCUCUUGCUUCCUUUGUUGAAAUCUUCUUGCAUUUCUCUCUGCCCAGACAUGAUAGACAGUUGUUGCAAAGAGAAAUCAUAGAAUAUGAGUCCUUGGUCGAUUGUUCCUUUUAAUUCUGCAGCCAUGUAAUUUGUGGAUUAUAGAUUUAAAUUAAAACUGCAGAAUAAAGUUGCAUAAAACUUAGGCAUAUACUCAUGAAAUGGGAUUAGUUUAUCUAUAGUUGUAAUGUAAAAAAUGAAGGAUAAAAUGAACCUUGAUUCUUUAGUCAAAUUCUCAUUUCUAGCUCUUUGCUCACAUGCUAGUUCCUAACUUCCUGUUAGUAAGUAAAACACACAUUCAGACAAGUAAACUUGGAUUUGGUUUUUGGAAAAUACUAGACAAACAUAUAAAACCAUUUGAAACCUUUCCAGUUCAAAUGUACCCUUCUCCUCAGUAAUAAGUUUUUUUUCUCCUCAAGUUCAGUGAAUUUCUACUAAAAAUGGCUGUAAAUCUUUUGUUCUUGCAAGUUUGCUUGUAGAGUUGCAACGCAGAAUACUUACUGCUAGUUGUGAAAGCAAUAUUUUCACCUACUUAACCAUGCUCGAUCCAACUACAAGUAUAAAUGAAAAAGAUGAAUGUUUGAACAUCUUAUUAAUACAAUAGAAUUCACAUUUGUCUUUAAUGGUGAAAAAUAAGCUUAGCUACUUAUGGAGAUCACAAAUAUUAAAAGUUCAUUUAAUUCUUGCCAUAUACAUUAGAUGCAGUUCUACUUUUCAUCUGUAGAUCACCUCCCCAGCUCGUCUAAUUUUAAGAACCAUCAAUACUCCAUUUCUUAUUCUAAUAAACUUGAAUUAGAUAUUUCUAAUCAAAAAAUGCCGGAGCAAUAAAUUUAUGUAAUUUAAGUCAAAACUAGAUAAUACAUUGGCCCUAGAAGAACAGAGAAUACAUAUCCAAUAUUCUUCAUUUUUUUACUAAACAUGUUAUUUUAGAAUCUUUAAACUAGUUUAAAUAUCCUCCACAUAAUAUCUUCAUUUUCAAAUAAAACAUUGAUAACGAGUAACAUCACAACUUAGAAGCCUCAUUAGCUCAGAAAUACUUCUAUUGUUCUUCGAAGUUUAACAUUUGAAACGACUCUAAUUUAACCCAUGAUGAAAAACAUUAAAGAUUUUCAACCUACGAAUGUCUAAAAUUGAUUUAUCAUCUUUUAACAAUUGAAAAUACUACUUGUAAAAUACCAUAUAUAAGUCAUUAUUGUCCAAGCGACAAUAUUUCUAUAUGACAUUUUAUCAAACACUUCAUAGGCUUCUUAAGUUAGUUCUAUAGGAGCAAACACCAAAAGUAAUAUUGUCUAAACAAAUGAAUUCAAAUCAAACUAGAUCACUAGCAAUUCAGUAAAAACAAACGAAUAAGAAAUAAACUCAUACUCCUCUUAUUACAAAAUGAGCAUCAAACAAAUGCCAAACUAAAAAAACCAAAACCAAAUUAUAAACAAUUAUUUACUGUACUUAGCUACCUACCUUCUCCGAUGGGGAAAAAAAUCCAUAAUAUACCUGCAGUAUUCUAACACUCGUACAUGAACUAACCCAUGAGCCAAAAUAAAUCUUCUGCUAGCAUUGAUAGCCUCAUAAUCCCAAGUUUUAUUCAUGCCAAAAUGGAAUAAAGAAAAAUAAUCAACAAUUACCAAAUCUUAUAAGAAUGUGAAUAGCAAAUGACAAAAAAAUAUUGAUUGUGAAAGUACCAUAGAGGUAGCCGGCAGUGACGAAGAUGUAGGUGGUAAGGCAAAGAGUUCUGAUCUACAACCGGUUAUUCGAGAUUUGCCAAUGUUAUAAUGUUUGUGUUCAUCCUUUUCUUCCCCUUUGGUUGUAGUCUGUAGAUAUGGGCUAACGAGAUUCUGAAAUAAUUUUGAUGGACGAAAAUAAGAGAAAUAAGAACAGUAAAUAAAAAACAAGCCAAGGGCGGGAGGAUUAAAAGAAGAGAGGGAAAUGAAAAAGUAUAGGGUUUCCUCUGGAGGGAAGGUUAAAAAUAAAAUAUAGGCUCUUUAGUGACUAAUUCGUUUAAUUGCCAGUAAAAUGAAACUUUUUACCGGCUAAUAUAUAUUUACCCUAACAUUCUAGUUUAGGAAUUAAAUUAGUUGCAAUUAUCUUACUGUCACUAAUUAAUUACUGCUAAAUAAUUUUUUUGUGGUAGUGCACGUGGAUAGUAGGGGAACUACUAGAAACCAUGUGGUGUGAUAAGGUGGGCUAAAACACACGAUGCUAUUUCGGGAAAAAUAAUUUUCAAAACUAAAUGUAAAGGCUCACGCUAUGAUAUAAGAAAAGAUUUUGAUUUAUUUUGUGAUUUGAGACUACGAGGCGGUACCUCGGUAGUGACUCUUGUUGACAUUUCCUCAUUCCUUUGUACUUGUCUUGAUCGUUGUUUCCUUAGCAUAUUAUUAAUGUCUUGCUCUGUGUUGUAAUAUUUGCUUAGUUCUGUGUAGCUAAUGUUGUUAUGUUAUUCAUUGUUUAAUUUUCAUUACUGUGUUAUUGCACUGUCUACAUUGUUCAGUCUUUUAUUUAUUUUCAGUAGGGUCCUAACUUGGCCUCGUCACUACUCUACCAAGGUUAGACUUGACACUUACUGGGUACCGUUGUGAUGUACUCAUGCUAUUAUUCUGCAUAUAUUUUUGUGUUGAUCCAGGUGCUUCCUACCAGCUCAGGCGUUAGUUGGGAUUCUAUUGCGGAGACUUCAAGGUAUACAUGUCGGCGUUCGCAGGUCUUAGAGUCCUCCUCUCUGUAGGUCUCUUAUUUUGUCAUCCUUAUUAUAUAGUCAUGAUAUAUAGAAUUAUAUAGUACUCAUAUUUAGAACUUAUGACUUGUAUUUUCAUCGGGUCUCGGGAUUUGUGUAUGCUGAGUUGAAGCGUUGUUUUAUAUAUAGUUGUUGAGUUUGAGAGGAUUAUUUACUAUUAUUUCAAUUAUUUUGCAUGCUGUUAGGCUUACCUAGUCUGAGAGACUAGGUGCCGUCACGACAUCCUACGAAUGAAAUUUGGGGUCGUGACAUUUACCUUUCGUAUAAGGAAGUUGAUUACCGUUUCUCUCUUGUUGAAUUCAGGUCUACCCCAGGGAUUAGUUGUCGUCCUUGAGGAGGACAUUUUGAAUAAUCAUGCUGACGUGGCGAGGCUGAAGGAGGAUUUUACCCGAACAUGUGUCUCUGAGCCUGCUUCUAGUGCAAGUGCUUUUUCUCGGAGUCCUCGGCCGGAGAACAAUCGACCAAAAAGAAGACGUUCUUCCGCGGCCGGGGAAAAAAUAAAAAGGCAAAGAGUGCCUCAUCUGAGUCGUCCAUAGACACCAUAGUGAUCGACAAUGAUGGAGAAGCCAACGAGGAUGAGGAUUCUCUACAUAGAAGAUGACGACCUUCCUCGGCUCAACAUGCUCAACCUGUUGAGUUAGUUACCCCAAUCGAGGAUGAUGCCUCGGCACUCUGGGGAGUAUUAUAUGGUGAAAAAUGCCAACUCCCGUUUUCGAAUCCUAAUCGUUGUGCCUGGUACCGCGAGGCUAGUACCGGGUCCCUACCGUCUUCAGUUGAUGAGAAUCCAACAAUCAGCAUUGCAUUUACCACAGCUGCUUCGCCAUCAGCUUUAUCUCCUUCUUCUCCAACUCUGCCUUCGCCACCAACAACUACUACAUCAUCUCCACCUGUAACGAUCCGGCCGGUCGUUUCAUGAAUUACCGCUCCAUUUCCCCCUUUUUUACUUCUUUAUGCUUGUUUCGUCUGUGUUAUAUGGUAUCGGGUUGGUCGGUUCAAAUUCGGAAUGAUUUUGGAAAGGUUUGAGACACUUAGUCUCUUUUGAGUAAGCUUAAGUUGGAAAAGUCAAUCAGAUGUUGACUUAUGUGAAAAAGGUCUCAAAUGUGAAUUUUGAUGGUUCGGAUAGCUUCAUGAGGUGAUUUGGGACUUAUGAGCGUGAUCGGAAUGUGUUUUGGAGGUCCAUAGCAGAUUUAGGCUUGAAUUGGCGAAAUUGGAAUUUUGGCAUUUUUCCGGUUGGUAAUGAAGAUUUUGAUAUAGGGGUCAGAACGUGAUUCCGGAAGUUGGAGUAGGUUCGUUGUGUCAUUUGUGACGUGUGCGCUAAAUUUCAGGUCAUUCAGAUGAGGUUUGAUAGACUUUUUGAUCAAAAGCGAAAUUUGGACGUUUUUGGAAACCUUAGGCUUGAAUCCGAUGUUAUUUUUUGAUUUGACGUUGUUUUAGGUGUUUCGAAGAUUGGUAUAAGUUUGGAUUGUGGUAUAUGACUUGUCCGUACUUUUGGUUGAGGUCCUAGGGAUGAUUUCGGGUGGUUGACGGGAAGUUUGGAGUUGGAAAUUUGCUGCUGAAGUUCCUGCCAUAACCGCACCUGCGACUUGGAGACCGCAGGUGCGGGCCCGUAAAAGCACAAGGAGGGUCGCAAAUGCGGCCAAGGUCGAGGAAGAUUGGAACCGUAGAUGCGGUGGUUCGAGCGCACCUGCGGCAGAUGCAGCUAAGGUCGUGGAGGUAAGGUUUUUGGACCCUAAACUUGUUUCUAUGAUGGUUUUAACUGUUUAAGCUUGAAAUCUAUGGAAAUUAGUAGCAAAAUUGGGGGUCUAGGGCUUGGAAAUUGGAGACCUUAACCUAGGGAUUUGAGGGGUCAAUUGUGGUCGGAUUUUGGUAUAUUUGCUACGCAUGGACUCGUGCGAGUGUAAGGAUUCCAGUUUUGUGAAUUUUAUCGGGAUCCGAGACGUGGGCCCGGGGGUCGGGUUUAGCCAAUUUCGAGAUUUUCUUUGGUGUUAAUUGGUUAUUUUGGAGUGGGAUUAUUCCCUUAGCAUAUUUUAAUGGUAUAAAUAUGUUUUUGGUUAGAUUUGGAGCAUUCGGAGGCCGAGUCGAGAGGCAAAGGCAUCGCGGGCUAGAAUUUGAACUUGAUAGAGGUAAGUAAUGAUUGUAAAUGCUGUCCUGAGGUUACGAAACCCCGGAUUUCACAUUGUUGUGCUACUUUGAGGUGAUGCACAUGCUAGAUGAUGAGCGUGGGGUCGUGCACCGUUAGGGAUUGUGACUUAGUCUGUCCCAUAUGAUUGUUAAGUCACGUAUUUGAUUAAAACUUAUUUGAUAUCAUCGUGUUUAGGAAAGUAUUAUUAUAUUUUGGGCUGAAUGCCAUAUUUGGGCCUCGUGCCAAUUGUUUUGGACCCUUAAGAGAUUUUUACUAAUAUUCCUCACUGUUUUGAUUUCAUAAAUUUUACUCAGUCAUGUUGUAUUCUACUAUUUUCAUAAACUCAGCCGUAUUUACUCCGUUUUGAUAUUCUAAAUGAUAUUUUGGGAUGAGCUUCAUGUUUUACUGUUUCUUGAGUGGCUUGAAAGGAUUCUGACUGAGUGAGGCCGGGGGCUUGAGUUGUGAGGAUUAUUAUAGGAUCGGGUUGUGCGCCGCAGCAUGUGUACUGGAUUAUGAUACAUGAGAGCCGAGGGCCUGAUUUGUUAUGCCACGAAAUGGCUUGUGAUAGCGCUUGGGCUGUAGGAGCCCCUCAAGGAGUCUGCACAGCCUCAGUGAGCGCAUGCACCCAGUGUGAGAUGUGAUAUUGCUUGAAGGGCUGUUGUUGUUUCAUGUUAUUGCCCGAGGGGCUGAUACGAGUGAUUGUGAGAUGGCCCGAAAGGCUGGUUCUGUUGAUAUUUUGCCCGAGGGGCAGUUGUGGUAUAUGUUUUGCCCGAGGGGUUGUUAACAUUUCUAUUCUUUUCUCACAGUUUUCAUCACUCGCUUGAAACUAUUGAAAGUUGUUUUAAAAAAAGGUUUUACUGAACUGAGAUGUUUUUACGAGUGUUAUUGCUUUACUUGCAUUGUUUUGGACUUAUAUUGUUUUGUUGUAGCGUCAUGCUGUGGUUUACGUGUUUUCUUACUACUCAACUGUCUUUACUUUUAUUACUUACUGAUUUGGCGUACUCACAUUACUCCAUGCACCCUGUGUGCAGAUCCAGGAGUCUCGGGUCACGAUAGCGAGUGCUGAUUUGGCUUCCAACAGGCUUUCGGAGUUGACUAGGUAGCUGCUUAGCAUUCGCAGCCCAGUGCUUCUCCUUCCUAUCUUUAUUCAGCUUUAUAUUAGCUUUGUUUCAGACUAUGUUGUCUUUUCAUAUUCCUAGACGAGUUGUAGUUGCUCAUGAUUGGUGACAUCCCGAUGUCGGGCCGUGUUUUAUCUCUGCACUGUUCUAUUCUAUCUUACAUUUUGGGAUUUUAGCUUAUUAAUGACUUUAAAUGACUUAUUAUAAUUGUUUGGUUGGUUUUGGGGUUUGUGUCAGUUGGCAUAUUUUCACGAUAUGCGUCAUCACGAUCGGCUCCGUUUUAGGGUCGUGACAAGUUGGUAUCAGAGCCUAAGUUACAUAGGUCUCACGAGUCAUGAACAGGUUUAGUAGAGUCUUACGGAUCGGUACGGAGACGUCUGUACUUAUCCUUGGGAGGCUGCAGAACCUUUUAGGAAAAACUUCAUACUCUUUAAUUCCUGUCGUGCGAAUCUGUUGAUUCUAGUACUAAACUUCUUUUAUUCUACUGAUAUUGAGGACACGUGCUACCGGUCAGGAUGGACGCCCACCAGUACCACUAGUUGUGGCCACUAUAGACCGAAGAUGCGAUAUAGGCCAUGGUAGGGGUAGGGGUGUAGUCCACACAGCAGCUAGGGCAGCACUUGCAGAUCCACCAGCCACCCCAGUUCAUAAUCAGGUCCCAGUUGUGGACACUCCAACAACACCAGCUUACGCACCAGGUGUGCUUAUUGUAAUUCCAAGCCUUCAGGAAGCCCUGGCCCAUAUUCUAUCAGGUGCUACUUUUAAGGAGGUUGUUGAUAUUGCUUGUAAGAUUGAGUCAGUUCGUAGCCAAGAGCGGGAUGAGAGGAAGGCCAAGAGGCCUCGGGGAUCUGGUAGUUUCGGUGGUGCUCCUUCGAGAGGUCACUUUUAGCACGGCAGAGUCCACCUAUUCAGGCAUGCUCAGUCAGCCCGUCCAGGUUAUCGUAGGGCAUCAUUGGAGCNNNNNNNNNNNNNNNNNNNNNNNNNNNNNNNNNNNNNNNNNNNNNNNNNNNNNNNNNNNNNNNNNNNNNNNNNNNNNNNNNNNNNNNNNNNNNNNNNNNNNNNNNNNNNNNNNNNNNNNNNNNNNNNNNNNNNNNNNNNNNNNNNNNNNNNNNNNNNNNNNNNNNNNNNNNNNNNNNNNNNNNNNNNNNNNNNNNNNNNNNNNNNNNNNNNNNNNNNNNNNNNNNNNNNNNNNNNNNNNNNNNNNNNNNNNNNNNNNNNNNNNNNNNNNNNNNNNNNNNNNNNNNNNNNNNNNNNNNNNNNNNNNNNNNNNNNNNNNNNNNNNNNNNNNNNNNNNNNNNNNNNNNNNNNNNNNNNNNNNNNNNNNNNNNNNNNNNNNNNNNNNNNNNNNNNNNNNNNNNNNNNNNNNNNNNNNNNNNNNNNNNNNNNNNNNNNNNNNNNNNNNNNNNNNNNNNNNNNNNNNNNNNNNNNNNNNNNNNNNNNNNNNNNNNNNNNNNNNNNNNNNNNNNNNNNNNNNNNNNNNNNNNNNNNNNNNNNNNNNNNNNNNNNNNNNNNNNNNNNNNNNNNNNNNNNNNNNNNNNNNNNNNNNNNNNNNNNNNNNNNNNNNNNNNNNNNNNNNNNNNNNNNNNNNNNNNNNNNNNNNNNNNNNNNNNNNNNNNNNNNNNNNNNNNNNNNNNNNNNNNNNNNNNNNNNNNNNNNNNNNNNNNNNNNNNNNNNNNNNNNNNNNNNNNNNNNNNNNNNNNNNNNNNNNNNNNNNNNNNNNNNNNNNNNNNNNNNNNNNNNNNNNNNNNNNNNNNNNNNNNNNNNNNNNNNNNNNNNNNNNNNNAAGGCCAAGAGGCCUCGGGGAUCUGGUAGUUUCGGUGGUGCUCCUUCGAGAGGUCACUUUUAGCACGGCAGAGUCCACCUAUUCAGGCAUGCUCAGUCAGCCCGUCCAGGUUAUCGUAGGGCAUCAUUGGAGCAUGGUUCUCACAGUUCUCAUCAGGGUCAUUCAUCACUUAGUGCCCUUCUAGCCCAGAGUUCGUCUCGUGCUCCAUCAGUUUAGGGCUCUUCUAUGCCAGGGGCAUUUGCUAGUCACUCUGGUGCUAGGUGUUCCCUUCAGUCCCCGUCUCUAGCAGCAGGGAGUUGUUAUGAGUGUGGAGAGUUGGGAUACAUGUGGAGGCAGUGUCCUCGUCGUCUUGGAGGUUCAUCCCAGCAGAAGAGUCAACCAUCAACUUCAACACCAGUUACUUCACCACCUACCCACCCAGCUAGGGGUGAAGGACAGUCAGCUAGGGGUCGCCCCAGAGGGGGAGGUUGAUUAGGUAGUGGUCAGGCCCCUUUUUACGCACUCAUCGCUAGACCUGAUGUUAUUGCUUCAAAUGUUGUGAUUACAGGUAUUGUCUCAGUCUGCCACAGAUAUGCCUCUGUAUUAUUUGAUCCCGGUUCCACUUUUCCAUAUGUGUCAUAUUAUUUUGCUCGUUAUUUGGAUACGCUCUGUGAGUCUCUUGUUUUAUCUGUUCGUGUAACUACGCUGGUAGGUGAUACUAUUAUUGUGGACCGUGUGUACCGAUCGUGUGUGGUGACUAUUGGUGGUUUGGAGACCUGAGUAGACCUUUUGUUGUUGUGUUUGGUGGACUUUGAUGUGAUAUUAAGCAUGGAUUGGCUAUAUUCGUGUCGUGCUAUAUUGGACUGUCAUGCUAAGAUAGUAACGUUGGCUAUGUCGGGUGUGCCACGGAUUGAGUGGCGAGGUUCGACUGAUUUUGUUCCCAGUAGGGUCAUUUCAUUUCUGAAGGCCCAGCGGAUGGUUAGGAAAGGUUGUCUUUCAUACUUAGACUUUGUGAGGGAUGUCAGUGUAGAGACUCCCAGUAUUGAUUCUGUUCCUAUAGUGAGGGAUUUUCCCGAUGUGUUUCCUGUAGACCUGUAGGGCAUGCCCCCAGAUAGGGAUAUUGAUUUUGGUAUUGACCUGGUGCCGAGCACUUAGCCCAUUUCUAUUUCAUCGUAUCGUAUGGCACUAGUAGAGUUGAAGGAGCAGCUUCAAGAACUCCUUGAUAAGGGGUUCAUUCGGCCUAGUGUGUCGCCAUGGGGUGCGCCUGUUCUAUUUGUGAAGAAAAAGGAUGGCACGAUGAGGAUGUGCAUUAAUUACAGGCAGCCGAACAAAGUAACAAUCAAGAACAAUUAUCCUUUACCUCGUAUCGAUGAUUUAUUUGACCAGCUUUAGGGAGAGAGAGUGUUCUCCAAGAUUGAUCUUCGUUCAGGUUAUCACCAGUUGAAGAUUAGGGACUCAAAAAUUCUUAAGAUAGCUUUCAGGACCCGAUAUGGUCAUUAUGAGUUCCUGGUGAUGUCUUUUGUGGGCUGACCAAUACCCUAAUAUCGUUCAUGCAUUUGAUGAACAACGUGUUUCGGCUUUAUCUCGACUCGUUCGUGAUUGUUUCAUUGAUGAUAUUUUGGUGUACUCGCGUAGUCACGAGGAGCAUGCGGAGCAUUUGAGAGUUGUGUUGCAGAGAUUGAGGGAGGAGAAACUUUAUGCACAGUUCUCCAAGUGUGAGUUUUGGCUCAGUUCAUUGGCAUUCUUGGGACAUGUGGUGUCUAGUAAGGGUAUUCAGGUUGAUCCAAAGAAGAUAGAGGCGGUUCAGAGUUGGCCCAGACCGUCCUCAGCCAUAGAGAUUCGCAGCUUCCUCAAUUUGGCAGGUUACUACCGUCGGUUCAUUCAGAGAUUUUCAUCUAUAGCAUCACCCUUGACCAAGUUGACUCAGAAGGGUACUCCAUUCUAGUGAUCGGAUGAGUGUGAGGCAAGCUUUCAGAAACUUAAGACUGCCUUGACCACAACUCCAGUGUUAGUUUUGCUAUCAGCUUCAGGUUCAUAUACCGUGUAUUAUGAUGCUUCGAGAGUUGGUAUUGGGUGUGUGUUAAUGUAGGAGGGUAGAGUUAUUGCUUAUGCUUCUCGUCAGUUGAAGCCCUAUGAGAAGAACUACCAUGUUCAUGAUUUGGAGUUGGCUGCCAUUGUUCACGCAUUGAAGAUUUGGAGGCAUUAUCUUUAUGGUGUAUCUUGUGAGGUGUUUACUGAUCAUCAUAGCCUCCAGCACUUGUUCAAACAGAAGGAUCUCAAUUUGAGGCAGCAGAGAUGGUUGGAGCCGCUAAAGGAUUAUAAUAUUAUUAUCUUGUACUAUCCGGGGAAGGCCAAUGUAGUGGCUGAUACUUUGAGUAGGAAGGCGGUGAGUAUGGGGAGUUUGGAGUAUACUUCUGUUUGGGAGAGAUCUUUUGUAGUUGAUGUUUAGGCCUUGGCCAAUUUCGUGAGGUUGGAUAUUUUGGAGCCCAGUCGGGUAUUGGCUUGCGUGAUUUCUCAGUCUUCCUUAUUUGAUCGCAUCAGAGAGCGUCAGUAUGGUGAUCCUCAUUUGCUUGUCCUUAAAGACAAAGUUCAGCACGACGAUGCCAGAGAUGUGACUAUUGGUGAUGAUAGGGUAUUGAGGAUGCAGGGCCGGAUAUGCGUGCCAAAUGUAGAUGGGCUUUGGGAGUUGAUUUUGGAGGAGGCCCAUAGCUCACGGUAUUCCAUUCAUCCGGGUGCCGCAAGAUGUAUCAGGAUCUGAGGCAGCAUUAUUAGUGGAGGAGCAUUAAGAAGGACAUUGUGUGAUUUGUAGCUCGGUGUCUCAAUUGUCAGUAGGUGAAAUAUGAGCAUCAGAGACCGGGUGACUUGCUUCAGCAGAUGGAUAUUCCAGAGUGGAAGUGGGAGCGGAUCACCAUGGACUUCGUAGUUGGGCUCCACGGACUUUGAAGAAGUUCGAUGCUAUUUGAGUGAUUGUGGAUCGACUGACCAAGUCCACGCACUUCAUUCCUGUGUGUACUACCUAUUCUUCAGAGCGGUUGGCAGAUAUCUAUAUCCGAGAGAUUGUUCGUUGGCAUGGUGUCCCAGUUUCCAUCAUAUCAGAUGGGGGUACUCAGUUUACUUUGCAGUUUUGGAGAGUCGUGUAUAGAGAGUUGGGUACUCAGGUUGAGUUGAGCACAACUUUUCACCCUCAGAAGGACGGGCAGUCCGAGCGCACUAUUCAGAUAUUGGAGGACAUGUUACGCGCUUGUGUCAUUGAUUUUGGAGGGUCAUGUGAUUAGUUUCUACCGCUCGCGGAGUUUGCCUAUAACAAUAGUUAUCAGUCGAGUAUUCAGAUGGCUCCAUAUGAGGCUUUAUAUGGGAGGCGGUGCAGAUCUCCAGUUGGUUGGUUUGAGCCCGGCGAGGCUAGGCUUUUGGGUACAGACUUGGUGCAAGAUGCUUUGGACAAGGUGAAGGUGAUUCAGGAGCGGCUUCAUACAACACAGUCGAGACAAAAGAGUUAUGAUGUCAAAAAGGUUUGGGAUGUGUCCUACAUGGUUGGGGAGAAGGUUCUACUGAAGGUUUCACCCAUGAAGGGUAUUAUGAGAUUUGGGAAGAAGGGUAAAUUGAGCCCUCGGUUCAUUGAGCUUUUUGAGGUGCUUCGGAGGAUUGGGAGGUGGCUUAUAAACUUGCUUUGCCACCCAGAUUGUCGAGUGUGCAUCCGAUAUUUCAUGUUUCUAUGCUCCAGAAUUAUAUUGGAGAUCCAUCUCAUGUUUUGGAUUUCAUCACGGUUCAGUUAGAUGGUGAUCUGACCUAUGAUAUAGAGCCAGUAACUAUUUUGGAGCGUUAGGUUUGAAAGUUGAGAUCAAAGGAUAUAACUUCAGUGAAAGUGCAGUGGAGANNNNNNNNNNNNNNNNNNNNNNNNNNNNNNNNNNNNNNNNNNNNNNNNNNNNNNNNNNNNNNNNNNNNNNNNNNNNNNNNNNNNNNNNNNNNNNNNNNNNNNNNNNNNNNNNNNNNNNNNNNNNNNNNNNNNNNNNNNNNNNNNNNNNNNNNNNNNNNNNNNNNNNNNNNNNNNNNNNNNNNNNNNNNNNNNNNNNNNNNNNNNNNNNNNNNNNNNNNNNNNNNNNNNNNNNNNNNNNNNNNNNNNNNNNNNNNNNNNNNNNNNNNNNNNNNNNNNNNNNNNNNNNNNNNNNUGGCCGGUCGUUUCAUGAAUUACUGCUUCGUUUUCCCCUUUUCUGCUUCUUUAUUCUUUGUUCAUCUGUGUUAUAUGGUAUUGGGUUGGUCGGUUCGAAUUCGGAAUGAUUUUGGAAAGGUUUAAGACAUUUAGUCUCUUUUGGGUAAGCUUAAGUUGGAAAAGUUAACCGGAUAUUGACUUAUGUGAAAAAUGUCUCAAAUGUGAAUUUCGAUGGUUUUGAUAGCUUCGUGAGGUGAUUUGGGACUUAGGAGCGUGAUCAGAAUGUGUUUUGGAGGUCCGUAGUAGAUUUAGGCUUGAAUUGGCGAAAUUGGAAUUUUGGUAUUUUUUCGGUUGGUAGCGGAGAUUUUGAUAUAGGGGUCGGAACAUGAUUCUGGAAGUUGGAGUUGGUCCGUUUUUUCAUUUGUGACGUGUGUGCUAAAUUUCAGGUCAUUCGGACGAGGUUUGAUAGACUUUUUGAUCAAAAGCGAAAUUUGGGUAUUUUUGGAAACCUUAGGCUUGAAUCCGAUGUUAUUUUGUUUAUUUGACAUUGUUUUAGGUGUUCUGAAGAUUGGUAUAAGUUUGGAUAGUGGUAUAUGACUUGUUCGUACUUUUAGUUUAGGUCGCGGGGGCCUCGGGAUAAUUUCGGGUGGUUGACGGGAAGUUUGGAGUUGGAAAUUUGCAGCUGAAGUUGCUGAAAUUCCUAUUAUAACCGCACUUGCGGCUUGGGGACCGUAGGUAGGGGCCCGCAGAAGCGCAAGGAGGGUCGCAAAUACGGCCAAGGUCGAGGAAGAUUGGAACUACAGAUGCGGUGGUUCGAGCGCACCUGCGGCAUCGCAGGUGCGGGAUUCUGAUCGUAGGUGCGAUUCUUGAGCGGAUAAGUGACUUUCGCAGAUGCGCACCUGGGAACGCAGGUGUGGGUCCGUAGGUGCAAGAUUUUGACUGCAUAAGCGGUUUAGCUGGGGCAGAACAUAUAAAUUAAGUCCUUUGCAAAUGUUUGGUUAUUCCACCAUUUUCACAUACGGGUUUGAGCUUGGGAGAGCAAAUUGAAGAGGGAAUUCAAGAGAGUUUCGUGGAGGUAAGGUUUUUGGACCCUAAACUUGUUUCUAUGAUAGUUUUAACUGUUUAAGCUUGAAAUCUUUGGAAGUUAGUAGCAAAAUUGGGGGUCUAGGGCUUGGAAAUUGGAGACCUUAACCUAGGGAUUUGAGGGGUCAAUUGUGGUCGGAUUUUGGUAUAUUUGGUAUGCAUGAACUCGUGAGAGUGUAAGGAUUCCAAUUUUGUGAAUUUUAUCGGGAUCUGAGACGUGGGCCCAGGGGUCGGGUUUUUAUUUAAGAUCUAUACUGAGUCAUGUUGUAUUUACUGAUUUCAUAACUUAGUCUUUAUUACUCCAUUUUGAUGCAUAAAAUAAUAUUUUGGGCUAAGCACCCUGUUUUACUGAUAGCCCAAGUGACUAGAUAGGUUUCUAACUGAGUGAGGCCGAGGUCCUUUGUUGUGAGGAUAUUAUGGGAUCGGGAUGCACGUCGCAGAAUGUUGUUAUUGAUUCAUGAUUUUUAUGAGGCCGUGUGUUAGACCCCAUAUUUUCUUAAAUGAAAAUACACCAUAAAUAAAUUAAUUAAUGAGAGCUCGGAAGUGAGAUAUUACGUCCCGCAUUUUGUACGUUGAUGUUUCGUCGUAAGUUAAUCAGCGUAAGCUCGGAAAUGAGAUUAGUUUGGAAUUAUAAGUAUUAUGCUAUUUCAAACAAGGAAUAAGUAAAUUAGUGAAGGUGAAAGGGUAAGCGAAUCGAAGGAAAUGAGUUUCGUUGAAGUUUGACAUUCUGGGAUAAAAACGGUCCGAGCUAUAAUACUCGGUAUUUAUGGACUAGUACCAUAUAAGGUACCACACGACCAUAAUAGUAAGGUGUAUAAGGUAUGUAAAAAGUAAGUAAUAUUUUAAGUAAGUGGAAAUAAUUCUCAAUUUUGCGGAUAAUUAAUUAAUUACCGGGUAACGGAACACUACCUAAUUACUUAAUAAGUAGAUAAAGAUUAAAACACCCCACCCCUACCCCCACGUGGAAGCCCCCCAAUUCUUACACUGUGACUCAUGCCUUCAUUAAAUUAUGUGGCUUGAUGUGGUAAGUAAUGUUUUCUUUUGGCGGCUGAGUUGUGCCAAGUUAGGCAUUAAUUAGUUGGUAUUUAAAAUUACUAGUUUGACUUAUUCCGGUGCAUGUGGAGAGAAUAGCACUCUUUAAAGUUUUUAUAAAGCUCUAAUCAAGAUUCUUGUGUUAAAAAUGAAUCAAUCCCAAAUCCUACCAUACUCAAGGCUAACGAAUCCUAGGAAUAUUAAUGUCAAGCUAGGAGUUUUUCCUAUUGAAUUAUUUCAUACUAAUCUGUAUGAAGAUCUCAAGAGUGUAGAUGGAAUAACCAUGUAUCAUAUGUGAUGUACACAUAUCCAAAUUUCGUGAGAUCAAUAUCGUAAUGGAAUAAAUCUUUAUGGGAGGAACGUGACAAUUUGGGUUGGAAUUCACUGCACUGUGUUGUCUAUCUAGGAUUGAAAGAAGUAGUUUCUGAUAUGCUGGGGCGAAAUAAAUCCUGAAGCCUGCAUUUCAGCAUGCAGUGAAAAUCACUGGACAACAACAAUUUACAUUGUAGCCAGUGAAGGUGAUGUAAGUAUGAUAAACGAGAUUUCAAAGCACUCCACUUUGUCAAUGUAGCGUGAGAUUUUUGCAAAUUUUAAGGAGUACGGUGUAAUCUUUCUUAAGAGAAUUGGCUCAGGUAUGUUAAGGUUAUCUCUUCUUUCUUUUGGCAUGAUUCAUACGAUACAAAUGAAACAUGCAAAUGCAAAAAUUCCAUAAAUGACUCUAUUCAUAGAAGUAUUAGAGAUAUCUAUAUUCUUGAAUUUCCAUGUGUCAUAAUAUUUUAUCAUCUGUUCACCGGCCUCAGAAAAAUAUAAAAGUUGAAAAGAGUUUACUUUAUGAUAGUACUCAAAAGCAAAAUGGUCUUGUGAAGCUCCGAAAGAUUUUAUUAACGUAUUUUUCAUGCAUUGCAUACAUAUGCAUUGACCCAUGACCAGAUGACGUUAUAUACGCGUAUAUAUGUAAAUAUAUGUAUAUGGGAUAUGGGAAAAGAUUACGGCGUUAUAUAUGCACCACCACCUGAUCAGCUGGUAUAUGAUAAUGAUGUUGCCCACAAUGGAUGAAAUAUGACUCAAACGGUGUUAUAUACACGUAUAUAUGUAUCUAUAUAUAUGUAUAUGGGAUAUGAGAAAGGUUAUGGCAUUAUAUACGCAUCACCACCUGAUCGGCUGGUAUAUGAUGAUGAUGUUGCCCGCAGUGGCUAAGAUAUGAUUCAAAUGGCAUUAUAUACGCAUAUAUAUGUAUGCAUAUAUAUGUAUAUGGGAUAUGGGAAAGGUUAUGGCGUUAUAUACGCACAACCACCUGAUCAACUGGUAUACAAUGAUGAUUUUGCCCAUAGUGGCUGAUAUGAUAUGAUGGGAUGCCCUCAGAGGCUGAUGAUGUUAUGAAACAUGUACCUAUGCACGACAUGACAUCCAUACGCAUAUGCAUGACGCUAAAACUAAUUUAUGAUUUACAAAGUUAUUCAGACUUACAGGUUGAGUCAUGUACUCUAUAUUUAUUACAUGUCUCGUAUGUAUUUAUUUAUGUGCCUAACAUACUCGGUACAUUAUUCGUACUGACAUCCCUUUUGCCUGGGGAUGCUGCGUUUCAUGCCCACAAGUCCCGAUAGACAGGUCGAGAGCCCUCCAAGUAGGCUAUCAGUUCAGCGGAAGAUGUUGCUAUGCUCCAUUUGCUUCGGAGUUGCUCAUUUGGUUAGUAUGAUUUAGACGUGUAUUAUUUGGUAUGGCGGGACUCUGUCCCGACCUUUAUAACAUUGUGUACUUUUAGAGGCUUGUAGACAUAUGUCGUGUACAUAAAAGAUUGUACGGCCUUAUUGGCCUAUGUUUUGAGUUUAUAAACGAUCAUGUUGGCCUAUUAAGCCCGUAUGUCAUGUUUAUAUGAUGAUGUAAUAAGAAAGAUACAUUAUGUUGGUACUCGAUUGAGUAAGGUAUCGGGUGCCCGUCGCGGCCCAUGGGUUGGGGUCGUGACAAAAGUGGUAUUAGAGUAGUUCUGUUCUAGGGAGUCUACAAGUCGUGUCUAGUAGAGUUUUUUAUGGGUGUGUCGUGCACCACACUUAUAAGCAUGAGGCUACAGGGCAUUUAAGACUGUCAAUCUUUCUUCUUACUCUAGAUCGUGUGGUAGAGCACACUUAUAUGAAUUCAAGUCCCAAACUUCUAUUUUUGUUCGUAAUAAGAUGACGCCUACGUUCAGAAAGAUGAUCGAUAAGAGAUAUAGUUGUGGAAGUGUUGAAUUAGAGUAACUCUACUUUGAAUCAUGCUUAUGAUAAGUAAAUGUGAGAUCUUCAGCAGAUCAUGUGCGUACUGAAAGGUGUAAGCUUCUUGAUAAGGAGCCUUAAGGAGAGAAUGCCUGUCCACCUUUAUGGUGAAAGACAAUGAGAGAUUAAGAAGAUAAAUACAAGUUUCAACAAGAAAAAUAAGCAAGAUGAAGAAGGGUACGAGGCGCCUAGUUAACAAAGGUUAACAAUGUUUAUAACUCAGGCAGAGGAACAUAAGCUUUUUGAGUUAUAUUCAAUAGUAACAGGGGUAUAUACAAUUGGUCACACCUAUUCCAGAUAUGCCCUAUAGGGUUUAAUAGAAGUAGUAUAAGAAGAUAUGAUGGGUGAAUUGUUUGUGUCAGUUGACAUUUCUGAAAGAUAUUGCAAAUGUGUUAAUAGAUCUCCUUGUGAGACACCCAGAAGGUACACUUUAAAAUAGUGCAGCCAGAUAUGAGUACUACAAAGACAUGCACUAUAAGCCUUGAAGGGAUACAUAUUACCUUAGUGUGGCCUGCGUCCCUAGUAAAGCGAGAACGUUAAGCAACUUAGAGAGCCACUGGAUGGAGCAAAGGGAAGCUAAAAGAAAAAGAAUGUCUUGUUCGAGUUUGCAGAAUAAAGUGAUAGGCAUAAAUGUUGGCGGGAAAUAAGAAAAGAGUUAACAAACCAUUAUGAGUAAGAUGUGAUACAUGGAUGACAAUGGUAGAUGAAAAGAUGUCAAUAUUACAAAAUCUAUAGUCAAGUGAAUGAAGAAACGAGAAGUGACAGGCCUUAGGACAACAAAAGAGUAUAGGCCAUACAAUCAUGUCCUCAUUUCGAGAAAUAAGUUCGCAACUCUAGCGUGGUUACCAAGAGGAAAAGUUAGACCCCAGAGUAAUAGAACCAGUAUAAAUUGGUGAACAAGAUAAACUAAACAUGAAUUAGGGACUGAGUGACUGAUAAUAGUCGCCAUCAUAAGAAUUUCAGAUUUUGUUCUGCCAAUAAUAAAAUGGAUGACAAAAGAAUAUUCAUGAGAAAUUCAGAGAAUGGUCAUUUAGAAAAACGCUUCCCUACAGCAAGCAAUGUGAGCAAAUUUCAGCUUAAGGGAUUGUAUGUGCCAGUUAUACUAAGUUCAACCCUCGUGAGUAAGCAAUUUUUCUAUCCUUGGUAUGGAAGGAUUACCGUAAGGCGAGUAAGGGUCAUCGAUGAUGUGAAAGGAUGCCAAAGAUGAAAAGGUGAAACAUCUAUAGGCAGGUCGUCAUAGCUCCCAUUCUUAGUACUCCCCUAAAGGGGGGAAUAUGGCAUGAUAAAAGGAAGAAUGCGAUAAAAAUGAGAAAGGGAUGAGAUUGCACUUAUCCAAAUGCUAUAGAUAUGCUAUGAUUCCAGAACGUUAUACAAACGUGACGUCAAGGAGAAGAACUACGGGUUAUUUCCCAAGAUGUUAUUGAUAAUUAAGGAUCCAGUGUGAGACAUAAGUUAAGACUAAGGAAAUAACCCAAGAAAGAUUACGAGAAAUAUUGAUAUGAGAAUGAGCCAAUGAGUAGUUAGUGGUCAGGAAGAUCCCAGUUAUGGCCAAAUAGGAGGUUAUAGACAAGUCAUCAAAUCCUGUAAGAUAAACAUAGUAUAACCCAACGUGAAAAAUUCAGCCUCAAAGAGUAUCAUUAUAAUACUUGAGAUAUAUUCAAACAAGAGUUGGGGUAGUUAAAGGUACCGUAUAAGUAUUAUGGGGAUAAAAGAAAGUGCCACUGGAAAGGCAGUCAAAAUAUUAGUUCAGAAGCAACCCUAUAAGAACAAGGGCGUGGAGAUAAGUAACUACGGAUAAGUAUAGGCAAGGAAGGACAUCAGAAGGUCUGUCGAGUAUACAAUGUAAUAAGCUCACAACUUUACAAGAUUCAGAGGGUCUUCCCUAAGUGCUACGAUGAAAGACUAGCUGAGAAAAUAAGGAAGAAGGCUUCAACCUCGGCACAAUGACCUAAAGAGGAAAUGGUCGUGGGACAAUAGUCUCAAAACAACAUUGUAUGCACUCCCUAAGAAAGUGGCACCUAUAGUGGCUAAUGGAUAGGGAGUAAAAUCAGAAGUGAUAUUCAAGAUCAUAUGAGUUGUAUGGAAUUUCAUAUAUGUGGGCACUAAGAUAAGCUAAGUAUGGAUGCAACAAGGGGGCAGAAAGAUCAGGAAAAGUAAUAGCUUACGUUUAAAGAAAGCUAAGAUGAAAAAAGGGAUUAUUCGAUCGAUGAUUCAGAGUUGGUUACGUUAUGAACGCACGUAAGGGUUCGGAGUUUUAUACAUACAACAUAUACAACCAUAGAAGAUUCUGGUAUAUAUUAAAAGAAAGAAAUGAGCCUAGGUCACAAACGAAGGAUUAAGCUGUUAAAGGAUUGUAUCAUGCAUAUCCCAUAAGUGCCAUGAAGGGCUAAAAGUAAUAACUAACACCAUGUGCUGCAGAUCAGAAGAUAGCUUAAAGCCGGUUAGAAAAUACUAGCCUCAUAAGAAUUCAGUAUGGAACUCCCAUCAGAUUGUAUAGGCACCAGAGGUGCAAGUAUUAUAAUAGAGUUUUAAAUUAUGGAUGUGAAUUCUACCUAUAUGGAAGGAAGGUCAUGAAGGAGAUAGAAGAUGUGAUACGAAACAUUAAAGUACGUAAGGUAAAGGUAAAUAACGUACGAGAUGCAGAAGAUUGUGAAUACUCCAUAGUUCAGGUAGAAAGCGCGUGGAUUCAGUAUCCAGGAUUAAUAGCUGCAUCAUCAGUAGCAUAUCCUCCAGCCUAUGGUCUAGGUAUCGAGAAGCCUGAUUAAGAGAAUAAAGAAGAGUCAGAGACGAUGUGAUGUCUCGCUUGACGUUCUAGAAUAACAUAAGGAAAUCUAUGGUGCAAGCAAGUUGAAGAAAGGUUGCGAGUAGUAUAAAUGGAUAUGUAUAGGUCGCAAGCUGAAGUAUGGUAGAGCGACAAAGUUUUAAGAAGACAUAAGUAAGGAUAAGGAAAGGCAAAUGAAAAGGGUACAAGAAUGGAUAAGUCCUCGGGAUUAGGCCCAUGAAAACAAGGGAGCUAAUGGCUUCUCUAGGUUAUAGUAAGCUCAGUAUAGCCUGAAUGGACUCAAAGGAGUUACUCUUCAUAAGUAGCAUCUAGAAGAAAUGGAAUGCUGCCCUAAUAGUAGAAUAAGGGUGUAAUUGUGAUAAAUAAAGGAUGACGUUUGGGCCUUCAAUUGAGUAAUGAUCGGACGAUGAAAAGAAAAGGACCUCAUGACUUAGACAUGAUUAAAAUAAUCAUGCAAGGUGAAUCACAUUGGGGUGCGGUGAGAUACGGUUAUGAAAGUAUGGUAUCGCCCCAGGUGGAUCAAUCUAAUCAUUUCAGAUGUUCCCCGAUAAAACAUGAAUCCUAGCGGCAGUAUUACAUAAAAAUGUUAAGUUAUCAGGGGUGGAUUAUGGAUCAAAAUUGAGGUAAAUCAACAAUGGAUAGAUAAAAGUUAUAAAAUAUGAGAGGAGAUUAGGUCGUCAUUCUUAAGAUGAACAGUAAUGUGGAAGUAUUAGAGGACAUAAAUUUAUACGUAUGGGAUAAGAAAUGAAAAUAGCUUGGAAUUUGGUAGCAGACCUCAGUAACGAGAAAUCAAGGUAAGAGUUAUGGUAUAGUACGACCUACAUAGAUGCAGUAAAAUCAUAUGAAUGUAUAACCAGGUCUAUGAAAUAAGAUGUAGCAAUAAUCGUAAAUUCAACAAAGUACCGAGGGAAGAACUUCAAACAUAUCUAUAGACACCCAAAGGGACACUUUAUCAUAAUUCUAUAUAUGUUCAAAGUGAAGCCCAGAGAUUGGCUAAAAGCUAGAGGAAAAAGGA